CACUAUGCUCAUCCGUGCAGGAUGAGAGCCUGCAGCAGGUUCGACAAAAUCGCCACUUGUGGCGACCCGCAGGGCGAGUCUCAGGAUGAGACGAGUGAUAUCCUGCACGACCCACCA
Molecule: small RNA, 117 nt
Filed under: Klebsiella terrigena
Lineage: Bacteria; Pseudomonadati; Pseudomonadota; Gammaproteobacteria; Enterobacterales; Enterobacteriaceae
Description: RtT sRNA
Rfam family: RtT RNA
About the family: This family represents a bacterial cis-regulatory element known as RtT RNA. The exact function of RtT is unknown although it is thought that it may be involved in changing the cellular response in relation to amino acid starvation.
Source: RNAcentral